Molecule: ribosomal RNA, 491 nt
Filed under: uncultured bacterium
Lineage: Bacteria
Description: partial 16S ribosomal RNA
Rfam family: Bacterial small subunit ribosomal RNA
Source: RNAcentral
AGUGAACGCUGGCGGUAGGCCUAACACAUGCAAGUCGAACGGCAGCACAGUAAGAGCUUGCUCUUACGGGUGGCGAGUGGCGGACGGGUGAGGAAUACAUCGGAAUCUACUUUUUCGUGGGGGAUAACGUAGGGAAACUUACGCUAAUACCGCAUACGACCUACGGGUGAAAGCAGGGGAUCUUCGGACCUUGCGCGAUUGAAUGAGCCGAUGUCGGAUUAGCUAGUUGGCGGGGUAAAGGCCCACCAAGGCGACGAUCCGUAGCUGGUCUGAGAUGAUGAUCAGCCACACUGGAACUGAGACACGGUCCAGACUCCUACGGGAGGCAGCAGUGGGGAAUAUUGGACAAUGGGCGCAAGCCUGAUCCAGCCAUACCGCGUGGGUGAAGAAGGCCUUCGGGUUGUAAAGCCCUUUUGUUGGGAAAGAAAAGCAGCAGGUUAAUACCCCGCUGUUCUGACGGUACCCAAAGAAUAAGCACCGGCUAACUUCGU